RNAcentral lists this ribosomal RNA (465 nucleotides) under uncultured Klebsiella sp. RNAcentral describes it as "bacterial SSU rRNA". It matches the Rfam family "Bacterial small subunit ribosomal RNA", at positions 338 to 795 of the family's 1533-position model. Lineage: Bacteria; Pseudomonadati; Pseudomonadota; Gammaproteobacteria; Enterobacterales; Enterobacteriaceae. The record is from RNAcentral.
CCUACGGGUGGCAGCAGUGGGGAAUAUUGCACAAUGGGCGCAAGCCUGAUGCAGCCAUGCCGCGUGUGUGAAGAAGGGCUUCGGGUUGUAAAGCACUUUCAGCGGGGAGGAAGGCGGUGAGGUUAAUAACCUCAUCGAUUGACGUUACCCGCAGAAGAAGCACCGGCUAACUCCGUGCCAGCAGCCGCGGUAAUACGGAGGGUGCAAGCGUUAAUCGGAAUUACUGGGCGUAAAGCGCACGCAGGCGGUCUGUCAAGUCGGAUGUGAAAUCCCCGGGCUCAACCUGGGAACUGCAUUCGAAACUGGCAGGCUAGAGUCUUGUAGAGGGGGGUAGAAUUCCAGGUGUAGCGGUGAAAUGCGUAGAGAUCUGGAGGAAUACCGGUGGCGAAGGCGGCCCCCUGGACAAAGACUGACGCUCAGGUGCGAAAGCGUGGGGAGCAAACAGGAUUAGAUACCCUAGUAGUC